Molecule: ribosomal RNA, 427 nt
Filed under: uncultured bacterium
Lineage: Bacteria
Description: partial 16S ribosomal RNA
Rfam family: Bacterial small subunit ribosomal RNA
Source: RNAcentral
UGGGGAAUAUUGGACAAUGGGCGAAAGCCUGAUCCAGCCAUGCCGCGUGUGUGAAGAAGGUCUUCGGAUUGUAAAGCACUUUAAGUUGGGAGGAAGGGCAUUAACCUAAUACGUUAGUGUUUUGACGUUACCGACAGAAUAAGCACCGGCUAACUCUGUGCCAGAAGCCGCGGUAAUACAGAGGGUGCAAGCGUUAAUCGGAAUUACAGGGCGUAAAGCGCGCGUAGGUGGUUUGUUAAGUUGGAUGUGAAAUCCCCGGGCUCAACCUGGGAACUGCAUUCAAAACUGACUGACUAGAGUAUGGUAGAGGGUGGUGGAAUUUCCUGUGUAGCGGUGAAAUGCGUAGAUAUAGGAAGGAACACCAGUGGCGAAGGCGACCACCUGGACUAAUACUGACACUGAGGUGCGAAAGCGUGGGGAGCAAACA